RNAcentral lists this ribosomal RNA (253 nucleotides) under uncultured bacterium. Its description in RNAcentral is "partial 16S ribosomal RNA". It matches the Rfam family "Bacterial small subunit ribosomal RNA", at positions 524 to 776 of the family's 1533-position model. The record is from RNAcentral.
GACAGAGGGUGCGAACGUUGUUCGGAAUUACUGGGCGUAAAGCGCGUGUAGGCGGCAGCGUGUGUCGGGCGUGAAAUCCCACGGCUCAACCGUGGAAGUGCACUCGAAACUGCGCAGCUAGAGUCCUGGAGAGGAAGGUGGAAUGCUUGGUGUAGAGGUGAAAUUCGUAGAUAUCAAGCGGAACACCGGUGGCGAAGGCGGCCUUCUGGACAGUGACUGACGCUGAGACGCGAAAGCGUGGGGAGCAAACAGG